Molecule: small RNA, 29 nt
Filed under: Bombyx mori (domestic silkworm)
Lineage: Eukaryota; Metazoa; Arthropoda; Insecta; Lepidoptera; Bombycidae
Description: ovarian small RNA-15617
Source: RNAcentral
GACUCAACUCAGGAUGCAAAUAUUUUAAC